UACGUAGGUGGCAAGCGUUGUCCGGAGUUAUUGGGCGUAAAGCGCGCGCAGGCGGUGCGGUAAGUCUCUGGUGAAAGCGCUCGGCUUAAUUGGGCGAGGGCCGGGGAGACUGCCACGCUGGAGGGGAGCAGAGGCGAGUGGAAUUCCGGGUGUAGUGGUGAAAUGCGUAGAGAUCCGGAGGAACACCAGUGGCGAAGGCGGCUCGCUGGGCUCUACCUGACGCUGAGGCGCGAAAGCGUGGGGAGCGAACCGG
RNAcentral lists this ribosomal RNA (253 nucleotides) under uncultured bacterium. Its description in RNAcentral is "partial 16S ribosomal RNA". It matches the Rfam family "Bacterial small subunit ribosomal RNA", at positions 524 to 776 of the family's 1533-position model. The record is from RNAcentral.